This 586-nucleotide long non-coding RNA is filed under the name Ananas comosus (pineapple). RNAcentral's name for it is "long non-coding RNA (ACOM_LNC037280)". The record is from RNAcentral. Lineage: Eukaryota; Viridiplantae; Streptophyta; Magnoliopsida; Poales; Bromeliaceae.
GACCGGUCCCUCGCUGCGCGACAGAAACACCAUGGUUCGGGAACCGAUCUCUCAUCACAAGGGACCGGUUGCAUCAAGGUUCACGCAGUGAGGACCUUAGGGGAACCGGUCUCUUGACCUCAGGGACCGGUCCCAGAACACAGAAAAGUUCAGUAAAGAAUUUUUGAAGUAAUCUAAGCCUUCUGAACUUAGUCUAAUUAGGUAUAUUCACCACAAAUGAUAUUUUCUUUAUACCUUGGGUAUCGAGCUUUCCGAAUUAGUCUUAUUUCUUCAAUUUGAAUCUUUUCUUCAAAAACUUCUGCGAUCAACUCUUCAAGACUCCAACCAACUUUACGAAAAUCGCCAACCUAUAAAAUCCUUAACAAUCUCCCCCUUUGGCGAUUUCGUGACAAAAUAUACUAUAAACUCGUACACAACACAGAAACAAUAAAAAGAAGAUCAUCGCAAUCACCAAACGACAAUCUCCUGCAUGAUCGAUCCAAUAAACUAAAAUUACAAUUUUCAUAAUCUUAAUACAAACUCUAUGACUUUGUCACGCCCAGGUACCAGCGGAAGCAUAUCCGGCACGUGCACAGACCCGCCAUAC